AUUGAACGCUGGCGGCAGGCCUAACACAUGCAAGUCGAGCGGAUGAAGGGAGCUUGCUCCUGGAUUCAGCGGCGGACGGGUGAGUAAUGCCUAGGAAUCUGCCUGGUAGUGGGGGAUAACGUCCGGAAACGGGCGCUAAUACCGCAUACGUCCUGAGGGAGAAAGUGGGGGAUCUUCGGACCUCACGCUAUCAGAUGAGCCUAGGUCGGAUUAGCUAGUUGGUGGGGUAAAGGCCUACCAAGGCGACGAUCCGUAACUGGUCUGAGAGGAUGGUCAGUCACACUGGAAGUGAGACACGGACCAGACUCCUACGGGAGGCAGCAGUGGGGAAUAUUGGACGAUGGGCGAAAGCCUGAUCCAGCCAUGCCGCGUGUGUGAAGAAGGUCUUCGGAUUGUAAAGCACUUUAAGUUGGGAGGAAGGGCAGUAAGUUAAUACCUUGCUGUUUUGACGUUACCAACAGAAUAAGCACCGGCUAACUUCGUG
Molecule: ribosomal RNA, 484 nt
Filed under: uncultured bacterium
Lineage: Bacteria
Description: partial 16S ribosomal RNA
Rfam family: Bacterial small subunit ribosomal RNA
Source: RNAcentral